This 296-nucleotide signal recognition particle RNA is filed under the name Cebus imitator (Panamanian white-faced capuchin). RNAcentral describes it as "Metazoan signal recognition particle RNA (ENSCCAG00000004879.1)". It matches the Rfam family "Metazoan signal recognition particle RNA". From Rfam's summary of the family: The signal recognition particle (SRP) is a universally conserved ribonucleoprotein. The record is from RNAcentral. Lineage: Eukaryota; Metazoa; Chordata; Mammalia; Primates; Cebidae.
GCUGGGCACGGUGGCACAUGCCUGUAGUCCCAGCUGCUCAGGAGGCUGAGGUGGGAGGAUCACUUGAGCCCAGGAGUUCUGGGCUGUAGUGCGCUAUGCCGAUCAGGUGUCCACACUUUCAGCAUCAAUAUGGUGACCUCCCGGGAGCAGGGGACCACCAGGUUGCCUAAGGAGGGGUGGACCGGCCCAGGUUGGAAAUGGAGCAGGUCAAAACUUCCGUGCAGAUCAGUAGUGGGAUCGCGCCUGUGAAUAGCCACUGCACUCCAGCUUGGGCAACAUGGCGAGAUCUCAUCUCU